UUUAGCGGCGAACGGGUGAGUAACACGUGAGCAACCUGCCCCUGACUCUGGGAUAAGCCCGGGAAACUGGGUCUAAUACCGGAUAUGACCGCCUCCGGCAUCGGAUGGUGGUGGAAAGUUUUUCGGUCGGGGAUGGGCUCGCGGCCUAUCAGCUUGUUGGUGGGGUAGUGGCCUACCAAGGCGACGACGGGUAGCCGGCCUGAGAGGGCGACCGGCCACACUGGGACUGAGACACGGCCCAGACUCCUACGGGAGGCAGCAGUGGGGAAUAUUGCGCAAUGGGCGGAAGCCUGACGCAGCGACGCCGCGUGGGGGAUGACGGCCUUCGGGUUGUAAACCUCUUUCAGCAGGGACGAAGUUGACGUGUACCUGCUGAAGAAGCGCCGGCUAACUACGUGCCAGCAGCCGCGGUAAUACGUAGGGCGCAAGCGUUGUCCGGAAUUAUUGGGCGUAAAGAGCUCGUAGGUGGCUGGUCGCGUCUGCCGUGAAAGCCCGCAGCUUAACUGCGGGUCUGCGGUGGAUACAGGCCGGCUAGAGGUAGGUAGGGGCAAGUGGAAUUCCUGGUGUAGCGGUGAGAUGCGCAGAUAUCCCGAGGAACACCCUUUGCGAAUGCGGCUUGCUGGGACCUUACCUGAAGCUGAAGAC
RNAcentral lists this ribosomal RNA (645 nucleotides) under Nonomuraea sp. FoSt17. RNAcentral describes it as "bacterial SSU rRNA". It matches the Rfam family "Bacterial small subunit ribosomal RNA", at positions 91 to 753 of the family's 1533-position model. The record is from RNAcentral. Lineage: Bacteria; Bacillati; Actinomycetota; Actinomycetes; Streptosporangiales; Streptosporangiaceae.